Molecule: long non-coding RNA, 862 nt
Filed under: Gallus gallus (chicken)
Lineage: Eukaryota; Metazoa; Chordata; Aves; Galliformes; Phasianidae
Source: RNAcentral
GGAGAUACAUAAACAUGAACAGAACUUUAUGCACAAGACCUGGGCUCCUUGAAGUGUGGCACAUUUUGCAUAUUAAACAUCAUGUGGUUCAGUGUAAUUUGGAAAAAAGGCUACUACAACAUCUGUGUGAGCAAAGCAGUGACCCAACAAGUCACACAAACUAGCGGCCAAAAACCUGGUCUUGUAAGUCUCCCUAGGUUUUCAUCUUUCAAUUUGUUUCCUUCCUUGUUUGUUUGAUCAAAAGGCAAGUUCCCCUGCAACAGGGAGCCAUGUAACAUCUCCAUUGCGGUGCCACAGUUUCACCAUUGGAAAGGCAGUAUUAGAGUGUGUGAAAUACAGCCAUCGUUGUUUGAUUGGUUUUUGGGGGGCAGCUAAAGCCAUAACACAGCAGGCACCACAUGACUAGCUAAAUCUUCAUGGUUUGCAAAAAAUGAUCCUUGUGCCCACUUUUGGAAACCCAACUGCCUUCAGAAAUCCAUUCAUUAUCACAUGUUGGGAUACGCUUAGGGAGCACACUUGAGCAGUCUUCACUCAUUUCUUAGCAGGAACAUUUGCACAAAUGAGGGCUGCUUGCAUUGAGGAGUUUGUUGGUGGUGCUGUUGUCUUUGCUUUUCUUCUUUGCUCCCUUCUCCAAACGGAGGGCCAGUCAUCAGAUGUCGUAGAUGGCUGAAUUUUGCCAUCCAGAUGUGUUCCUGCUCUUUGCUUGCUGCUGAUGUGGCCCUGGUUUGGCCUCCAGCUCACUCUGAGGCUGUGCUGAGCAAGGACUGUGCUGAGGGAAGGCCAUAUUGAGUGAAGGCCAUGCUGAGUGAAGGCCAUGCUGAGUGAAGGCCAUGUUGAGUGAAGACCAUAUUGAGUGAAGGCC